Molecule: ribosomal RNA, 184 nt
Filed under: Triticeae environmental sample
Lineage: Eukaryota; Viridiplantae; Streptophyta; Magnoliopsida; Poales; Poaceae
Description: partial 18S ribosomal RNA
Rfam family: Bacterial small subunit ribosomal RNA
Source: RNAcentral
AAGGUGGGGAUGACGUCAAGUCCGCAUGGCCCUUAUGGGCUGGGCCACACACGUGCUACAAUGGCAAUGACAAUGGGAAGCAAGGCUGUAAGGCGGAGCGAAUCCGGAAAGAUUGCCUCAGUUCGGAUUGUUGUCUGCAACUCGGGAACAUGAAGUUGAAAUCGCUAGUAAUCGCGGAUCAGCA